Molecule: transfer-messenger RNA, 374 nt
Filed under: Rothia mucilaginosa
Lineage: Bacteria; Bacillati; Actinomycetota; Actinomycetes; Micrococcales; Micrococcaceae
Also listed under: 1 other name
Description: Standard tmRNA
Rfam family: transfer-messenger RNA
About the family: Bacterial tmRNA, also known as 10Sa RNA or SsrA, is named for its dual tRNA and mRNA-like properties. Its role is to liberate the mRNA from a stalled ribosome.
Source: RNAcentral
GGGGAUGAUCGGUUUCGACGAUGUGAGUUGAGAUGGGUGAAGCGUGCCGAGGAUGCAGGGUUAUCUCGUUAACGCCCUCUGCAAAAAAUUAAGUGCAGAAUCUAAGCGCACUGACUUCGCACUCGCUGCCUAAGCGCGAGUUGCCGUCUGUCGGCCUGAGCAUGCCUUUGGCUCAGUUACCGGCAUCGACUUAAAAGGCCACUGCUGCUAGCCCUUGUUGCGGGGGUUAGCGGGACUUUUUACGUGACUAGGUUCGUCGGUAUAUGUGUUUAUGCAAGUACCGGAGCCGAAAAGUAGCGUUCGCAUAAACUGCGCACGGAGAAGCCCCAUCGAAGCCACAUCGGACCGGGGUUCGAUUCCCCGCAUCUCCACGA